GAAUAUUGGUCAAUGGAUGCAAGUCUGAACCAGCCAUGCCGCGUGCAGGAAGAAGGCCUUCUGGGUUGUAAACUGCUUUUGCCAGGGGAUAAAACGAGCAUGCGUGCUUAAUUGAAGGUACCUGGUGAAUAAGCCACGGCUAACUACGUGCCAGCAGCCGCGGUAAUACGUAGGUGGCAAGCGUUGUCCGGAUUUACUGGGCGUAAAGAGCGCGCAGGCGGCUGGUCAAGUCCGAUGUGAAAUCUCCCGGCUCAACUGGGAAACUGCAUCGGAAACUGAUCGGCUUGAAGGUGGGAGAGGGUAGUGGAAUUCCCGGUGUAGUGGUGAAAUGCGUAGAUAUCGGGAGGAACACCAGUGGCGAAGGCGACUACCUGGCCCAUUCUUGACGCUGAGGCGCGAAAGCUAGGGGAGCGAAC
Molecule: ribosomal RNA, 416 nt
Filed under: uncultured bacterium
Lineage: Bacteria
Description: bacterial SSU rRNA
Rfam family: Bacterial small subunit ribosomal RNA
Source: RNAcentral